UAAUACGUAGGGUGCGAGCGUUAAUCGGAAUUACUGGGCGUAAAGCGUGCGCAGGCGGUCUUGUAAGUCAGAUGUGAAAUCCCCGGGCUCAACCUGGGAACUGCAUUUGAGACUGCAAGGCUAGAGUACGGCAGAGGGGGGUGGAAUUCCACGUGUAGCAGUGAAAUGCGUAGAGAUGUGGAGGAACACCGAUGGCGAAGGCAGCCCCCUGGGCCAAUACUGACGCUCAUGCACGAAAGCGUGGGGAGCAAACAGGAUUAGAUACCCUGGUAGUCCACGCCCUAAACGAUGUCAACUAGGUGUUGGGAGGGUUAAACCUCUUGGUGCCGUAGCUAACGCGUGAAGUUGACCGCCUGGGGAGUACGGCCGCAAGGUUAAAACUCAAAUGAAUUGACGG
Molecule: ribosomal RNA, 397 nt
Filed under: bacterium enrichment culture
Lineage: Bacteria
Description: bacterial SSU rRNA
Rfam family: Bacterial small subunit ribosomal RNA
Source: RNAcentral